RNAcentral lists this ribosomal RNA (485 nucleotides) under Fusarium oxysporum. RNAcentral's name for it is "eukaryotic LSU rRNA". The stretch from base 134 to 287 matches the Rfam family "5.8S ribosomal RNA". Lineage: Eukaryota; Fungi; Ascomycota; Sordariomycetes; Hypocreales; Nectriaceae. The record is from RNAcentral.
CCAAACCCCUGUGAACAUACCACUUGUUGCCUCGGCGGAUCAGCCCGCUCCCGGUAAAACGGGACGGCCCGCCAGAGGACCCCUAAACUCUGUUUCUAUAUGUAACUUCUGAGUAAAACCAUAAAUAAAUCAAAACUUUCAACAACGGAUCUCUUGGUUCUGGCAUCGAUGAAGAACGCAGCAAAAUGCGAUAAGUAAUGUGAAUUGCAGAAUUCAGUGAAUCAUCGAAUCUUUGAACGCACAUUGCGCCCGCCAGUAUUCUGGCGGGCAUGCCUGUUCGAGCGUCAUUUCAACCCUCAAGCACAGCUUGGUGUUGGGACUCGCGUUAAUUCGCGUUCCUCAAAUUGAUUGGCGGUCACGUCGAGCUUCCAUAGCGUAGUAGUAAAACCCUCGUUACUGGUAAUCGUCGCGGCCACGCCGUUAAACCCCAACUUCUGAAUGUUGACCUCGGAUCAGGUAGGAAUACCCGCUGAACUUAAGCAUAU